ACGAACGCUGGCGGCGUGCCUAACACAUGCAAGUCGAACGAGAAAGGGGCUUCGGCUCCGAGUAAAGUGGCGCACGGGUGAGUAAUACGUGGGUAACCUGCCUCUAAGACCGGGACAACUUGUCGAAAGACGAGCUAAUACCGGAUAAGACCACAGUUCCCGAGGGGACAGGGGUCAAAGGUAGCCUCUAUUUAUAAGCAAUCACUUAGAGAUGGGCCCGCGCACCAUUAGCUAGUUGGUGGGGUAAUGGCCACCAAGGCAAAGAUGGUUAGCUGGUCUGAGAGGAUGAUCAGCCACACUGGAACUGAGACACGGUCCAGACUCCUACGGGAGGCAGCAGUGGGGAAUAUUGCGCAAUGGGCGAAAGCCUGACGCAGCAACGCCGCGUGAGUGAUGAAGGUCCC
RNAcentral lists this ribosomal RNA (404 nucleotides) under uncultured bacterium. Its description in RNAcentral is "bacterial SSU rRNA". It matches the Rfam family "Bacterial small subunit ribosomal RNA", at positions 29 to 418 of the family's 1533-position model. The record is from RNAcentral.